UUGAACGCUGGCGGCAUGCUUUACGCAUGCAAGUCGAACGGCAGCGCGGGGCAACCUGGCGGCGAGUGGCGAACGGGUGAGUAAUAUAUCGGAACGUACCCAAGAGUGGGGGAUAACGUAGCGAAAGUUACGCUAAUACCGCAUACGAUCUAUGGAUGAAAGUGGGGGAUCGCAAGACCUCAUGCUCCUGGAGCGGCCGAUAUCUGAUUAGCUAGUUGGUGAGGUAAAGGCUCACCAAGGCGACGAUCAGUAGCUG
Molecule: ribosomal RNA, 256 nt
Filed under: uncultured bacterium
Lineage: Bacteria
Description: partial 16S ribosomal RNA
Rfam family: Bacterial small subunit ribosomal RNA
Source: RNAcentral